Long non-coding RNA from Brassica rapa (field mustard), 586 nucleotides. RefSeq lists it as uncharacterized. NCBI's taxonomy places the organism in Eukaryota, Viridiplantae, Streptophyta, Magnoliopsida, Brassicales, Brassicaceae. The record is from RefSeq and is a predicted model, not a curated record.
UAAAUAUAUAUUUAUUUAUUUCAUAAUAUGUUAUAAACAUAUAAUAUAUAAAAUAAUUUAUAUAUAUAAUGUUUAUUUCGCGCAAGGCGCGGGUCUUAACCUAGUAAUUAUUAAAAUUUGAAAGUCAAAAGAUGAUUUGAAAAUAAGAAAUUAUAAUUUUAUAAUGAAAAAAUACUAUAUAUAUGAAAAUAGCAGUUUCUAUUUUAUAGGAGAAAAUAGAGAUUGACUAUAACAUAGUUUUCUUUAUUAUAGCAUUUAGAAAUGAAUAUAACAAUAGAUAGGAAAUGUUCAUAUCUUAUACAUUAUAUAUUAAUGUUUUCUUUGUCAACAUGGUUACUUUGUUUGAGUGUUUAUUGAGUUAUUAUAGGAGGUAUUUCACAAUAUAAUUAUACAGAUAUCAAUAUUUUUAUUUAUUUGAUUAAUAUAAUAUGUAAAAUUGGGUUCAGUUUAAUAUUCUUGUGCUUUUGAUUUAUUUUGAGAUUUUGUAGGUUUUUGUAAUUCCAAGAAUUUGGUUUAGUAACAUCACAUUAUAUUAACAAUUAUAUAUUUGUUUAUUUAAUUAGAUAAUUGUUUAUAAAUUAAUAUA